Molecule: long non-coding RNA, 8545 nt
Filed under: Ananas comosus (pineapple)
Lineage: Eukaryota; Viridiplantae; Streptophyta; Magnoliopsida; Poales; Bromeliaceae
Description: long non-coding RNA (ACOM_LNC024400)
Source: RNAcentral
GUUGUUCCAUUCCGUAUCUGUUGACCUGGUUGGUCGGUUCUCGUACUUCGUAUCAGGGACCUUGUUGAUCAGUUGCACUCUGUGGACCUUGGGUCCAGGCAACACAUCGACUCUCUUGUCAUGUGUUUCGAUCUGGUUGAUCGUGGUUUGGCGUUGUACGCCCUUGUUUCUGGCUUCGGCCUAGACACCGGCUUUAGCCGGAUUUCGUUUGAGCAUAUCAACAUGAUUUAGUCACAGCACUGUGUAUUCUAGACACCAGGUUGGUUUGGCCACCAACAAGAGGUGUACGUAUCCGGAUAGGUCGUCGGUGACGCAUGAAUAAGCUCUUAGUGUCUGCUCUGUGACAGGCAACGCUUGAGGUCUGCGGACCAAUAUAGCAGCAUCAGAUUGGGUAUAUUUGGACUUAUCGUCUGGUCGACGCAUAUAACUAUAGUAGCAGUUGUCGCUUGUAUAUCUUCAGUUCUUUCGUUAGAUUGUCUUACUACUAUAGUCUUGUUACAUGUAUACAUUCAGUUGUUCAUUACAGUAGCGGUAGUUGUACUUUCUUUCAUAUACAUGUCUCUUUCAUUCAUUAUUAUUGCUACUUUAUUUUCUACUGACCCGUGCUGUUGUUUAGCUCUUUCUGAUCCGGUGAGUACUCCUCGUCUUCAUCGGCUUGCGGUACCCACUGGGAGGGGAGACAUGUUUACAUGUUCUCACCUCCCCACUAUUUUUUAGGUAUCGCGGGCGGUGAGGGUUGAGACGAGACGUGUGAUACGUACGUAGCGGUCGAUAGAGCUUCCACCAGGUUAUUCGGUUUAGUUUCUACCUUCACUGUCCUGUUGAUAUAGCUUAGAUAGUUUAUAUGUUCAGUUUUUGUAUUUCAGUUAACUAUCAUAUUUUGAUUUGGCUUUAUGAAAUACUCGACACGGCGGUCAAACCUCGACGUCGAUACAUGACUAACCUGAAAAUCAAACAGGGUGCAGAAAAUACAAAACAACAAUCAUCUCGACCCAAUCAAGCAAACAGUCUGAAGGUGCCCUGUUUCUUUCUCCUCAAAUUAUACCGUCUGCAGGCCAAACAUAAUUUUGUUGGCCAAACAUACACUACUUCAGUCCUCACUCCACCUCUAAGAAGGCGUUAAAAUAAUUCAAUCGUGGACGGUUUUCGCGGAUAAAUACGCCUCUCGCCGGCAGCGUCUUGCUUCCUAAUGUUUGUCAAGCUUAAAAUUUUUUAGGUCGCCCCCUUUAUCUCAACACUAAUAUACUCUGAUACCCUACUUAAUCGGUCAACGCCCGAAUUCAGCGUUUCCCCCCCUACGGCCGUGAGAGCACAACAAACCAUCCUAUAUAUAGGAAUGAUUUGCUGUUAUACGAAAGCGAUAGUUGUACCUAUAAUAAAAUAGAGCUACACACCAUUCAAGUGGUAAAUGUAGCUGCAAUGUCACGCCCCGGCCGAUUUUAAAAGCCUUUUUAGAAUUCAUUACAUUGGAGAAACAGGUUGGCGGAAACGUACCCUUUUUUUUAUUUUUUUCCAACUUGGCCAAAGUCGGAGAUGAAGAGAAGACUGUACAGACCACUGCCACAAAUAAAAGUCAUCUGUCCACUCGGACAGAGCUCCUUUAUAUUUGCACUGCAGUACACCCAAUAGCUACAUGAGGGAUCCAACUAACAAUCUAACAAUUCGACUCAACGANNNNNNNNNNNNNNNNNNNNNNNNNACUUCUGUGGCGACGGCGAUCCGCGGUAUUCUUACCUUCUUUGAUAAGUACGUUGGCUUUUUUGUUACAGACAACGUAUUAUCAAAAUAGGACAAGAUACCCUACCUUUGGGAAUUAUUUGGCAUUAGUGUCGAUAUUCUUUUCUGCUUUGCGAUGAGAGGGUGACGGCUUAUCUUGAUUCACUAGUAUGCCUCACCCCGAGCCGAUCUCUUUUGGGGCCGGUUAGAGAGCGUCAACAGACGGCGAAGCGGACAGAGCUUCCCUGUCCGCCGCAAGGCCUCAAACUAGUUUCAAUUAGAGUACAAAUGUUGAAUAAGCGGAAGCAUACAACAAAUGGCUUGCACAGGAUAAGCAAUACCAAGGUGAAAAGAAUUAGCAAUUAAAUAUACAAGUAAUAUGACUAAUUUACAAUUCACAUACAUGCAUCAUUUCUCUCUUUUUUGCAUUCCAUUAUCUCGAUCUCCAAAUUAUAACGUUUUGACAGUUAUAAAGUAAAUAUUCUUAAGCAUUUUUGCAUUAAGCAAGCUUCAUAACUACCUAAAAUACAUCGAAUACAAAAGAUGAUAGUAAAGGGUGCUGCAAUCUACAAAAUGAAAUCCAUCUCGGCGUCUCACUAGGCGUGAUGCCCUUACCGAUCAUCUGCGGCUCGCGCUGGUCCGGCUCGUUGUGGAAAUAUGACGGGGGAGAACUAGCAACAAAGUUCCCAGUGACGUUCGGCAAACCAACGCGCCGACUAUCCACUAGGGUCUAAUAAGGCAUAAUAGAAGAAAGAAUAGAUAAUAACAACUAACAAAUGCAGUAAUAUGCUCUGAACAAUAAAUAAAACUAUGCUCGAUAGAAUGCUCAUGAUGAAUGCAAGAUUCACUUUUCAUUACGAAUCUCAUGGCUAGCCCGUAGGUUUCGCCCUCACAAACUCACCAACCCAAAUCCCUAUUGUCGGGGAGAUAACCGCUACAACCCGACGGACCGCGCCUGCUGGGGAGAUACACGCUACGACGCCAGUGAUGAAAACUCCGGAGCACAUCGCCCGAGGGGAGCUACCGCCCUCGAGCAAGGACUAUUAGGUGAGUACGAUCAAUCCUUAACUGUUAAGGAUUUUAAGUUCAAUCCAUUCCUUGACUUCCAAGGAGAACCAUGUACAUAUGACCCUUAAUUCUAAGGUGUUUAUGUCAUAAUGUCACUACUUGUUCUUGUUCUUUGUCAAUUAUGCCACACGUUGUUUCUAAGUCUUUUAGACUCAUCAAUGUCACUUGCUAAAUCUAUGUCAACAUGUCACAUUUGUUACUAACCCUCUAGGUUCUUGUCCUUGUCAUGCCAUAUUAUAGGAGUUACCAAUUCUCAUUCAUUUACUACUAUUUCUCAAGCAUUAGAACUCAUGAUCAUGCAAGGAAAAUUUACAAUUAACCCUACUAUGCAACAUGCCAUAUAAAUGCAUAUGCUCAAAUAUGACGCUUUAGACAUAAAGGAUUUUCGAUGUCCUUGGAAUGCACCACCCACCUAGAUGCUCACAAGGAUGCUACGGUGAAUUUCUUGGAAUUUUUGAAGCCCUAGUCCGCGUGCUGCGGCUAUCUGUACGGAAAAUGACGUUUUAUUAAUAACUUUGCGCGUACACUCGUCGGAUUGUCGAACCGAGCAUUCAACGCGUUUAAAAUACCCUCAAUUGGUUCUACAUGAUCAAAAUAGAUCAAAACCCAACUUGGGCAAAACCCCUCUUUGGGAUGCUCCUAACAUGUUAUUUUUGCAUUUCUCCGAGAUUGAUCUCAUUUCUAAGCAAAGAUAGCUUAGAUUCACAUGGGAAGCUCUCUAAUAAGGUUUGUAAGCUUUUAGAACCAUCCCUAGGCAUUACUUUGAGCCCUAGUGAUCCACAUGAAGGGGUCCAAGAAAUCCAUGUUUUUACAUGGAGUCAUGUCCUUAGAGGAUUUCCUCACUUGUAAGAAGAUCAAAACCCAAAAAUCUAAGGUCUAAACCCAAACCUAAACUCCAUUUUUGCAUAAGGACUCACCUUUGCCAAGCUCCACCAAAGCUUACUUGUUGGAGAGCUUCUGGACCACCAAAGCGACACCAAAAUCCACUUCUCCAAGCUCUUCUGCCACCUUCUCCAAGCUCUAGGGCUUGCUUUCUAGAGAGAGAAAGAGAGGAAAAUGAGAGAGAGGUGAAACUGGUGUUGGCUUGAGGGGAAGGGUAUUGGGCUAUUAACAUGUGUAACAUUUGCCAAAAAACCUCCACUUUAUAUUUUGCCAGGGAGACCUCGUUUUGAUGUCGGGCCCAAGUGUACGGUACACUUUUUCGUGUCACCGUUACAUGACUACGCAGAGGCAAACCGAGAGCCAGAUUCUCGGUUUCGCCCAAAGUGUACGGUACACUUUUUCGGUCAUCGGUUUCAGCAUGGUGUAACCGGUGACAUGUCGCUUGCUGUACCGGUCACACAUUGCUCCAGACCUGAUUUUUGGCUCCGUCUCGAUUCUAUUUUCGCUGAUCGAUGCCAAAAUCCUUCUAACACUUCUAGAACUCAUUUUAACCCUCCCAACAGUGUUGGUAGGUUAAUUGGAACUUGCCCAAUUAAUCGCAUUCGCGCACUUUAGUCAGUUGCUUAAAGUUCGUCAUUUUCUAUCUAGGUUUCAAUACGUUACAUAGUAAGCCUGGUGGUGUGGCUCAGAUGUCGCAGCUUCCGUUGUUGUAUAAGUAUAUGUUUUGGUAUCGUGGAUACCUUGGAUUGGAUUGGGUCGUUGUUCGGUCACUUGGUGAAGUUAUGUUGGAGUCUACGAUGAGACGGGCAUUUAGUGUUGCUAGAACAUCGAUCUCAGGGUCCCUUGGGGACGGCAGCGAUAGGGGUCUCGUAGAGCAGGUGUUGGCAUCACUGGUGUUUUGAUCGCUUGUUCGCGUGGUAACUCUAUUUACCUAGUGUAGACUAAUUGGUUCUACCUCGUUUGAGUGUCUGACACAGCUUCAAGCUAAAUUGUUGGCUCAACUGGUACUGGCAGCCUUAGACCUUUUUGGUCUAGACAAAUGGUUAGGUCUUGGACCUAAGAGUGUCGGGUGCCAUCGAUGGGUUCCGAUGGUUAAGUUUUGGCUUUGUCAGGUUGUAGUUCGGUUCUUUAGGGGGGUUGUAGCCUCCGAGGUGAGUGUUGGUUCUCUAGCAUUGGAUCACCCCUAUCUGUUAGCAAGUUUCGGAGACGAAACUUUCUUUAAGGGGGGGAUGAUGUAAGGACUGAGAUUUUUACAGUGUAGCUAAACUCUCAGUUGACGAUAUUUUUGUGUGUAAUUUAAUUACAAAAGCACUCGUCAAGUUUCAGGUGAAAAUGAGUUAAAACAGAAAUUCUACGCGAUUUCCAAGUUUCACUUAAAGUGAAUAGUAACUCGAUUUUCCGAAGAAGUCACGGUGGGAAGUUGGCUUCUGGCUCGUAGUAGACUCCCUUCCUAGCGGUCCAGUAGCUCGUUUCAAUCGGUUCAGCUAUUCUGGAACUAAUGGCGCUGUCAGAUUUUAAGUUUGACCCACGGAUUUCAAGAAAAUCAAAAAAUACAUGUUUUAUAUGUAUUUAUGUGUUAUUUCUUCUGUUGGAAAGAAAGAUUGGAUUGUGUCGUGAAUCCGUGGUCGAUCGAGGUGAAACGAAAUCGCAGCUUUGUUGUCUCCAUCGUGCUGAUUGCACUGGUGCAAUCCGUUCGCAAAUCUGACGAACGAGUCUGCGGAGAUUGCGCGUUGAUCGAGGAGAGGUCGGUAAUGGCAAAACGGUAUUUUCGCAAAAGUCACAAUAUUUUAUGUACCGUUUCGUGUGAGAUCGCACGUGGAGGGGUAUCCGUGCGUUUUACUCGUGCUGUGAGGGACUCAGAAUGAAAUGUUGAGUUUUGAGGGGCUUUUCUGCAAAUAGGAGCUUUGUAUUUAAGCUUUUCACCUUGGAACCCUAACCCUAGCCCUAGCCGCAUCACCCUAGCCGACCUAGCCGCCUCUCCUCCCUUCCCUGAGUGCACAGCUUGCGCCCCAGCCGCCGACGCACACUGCCGGUCGCCGGAGAAGGAGGUUGCUUCUCCCUGUAGCUCUCUCCUCCAUCCCUCUCCCUCUAUCUCUCUUUCUCUCGGGUUGGAGCCCAGGCGAGCCUACAUGGCCUCAUCGGCGUCGCCCUGUGCCUCGGCAACCUGCCCGCGCGACCGCCGCCGUUCCGUGCGCCGCCGCUGCGCUGCUGCCGCUGCUGCCGCCCGGGCCACAAGCUGCCAGCCUGGGCCGGGCCCAGGCCGAGAUCUGUUCGCGACCCCCUCCCGUGCCCGCGUCCUGUAACCUCUCCCGCCGACGUCACGAGGCCCGCAUCCCUCCUGCCGGCCGCCGCCGCCUUUCUGGGCCGCCGCCGCCGCCUCUGCGGGCCGCCGCGCCGCCUCUGCGGGCCGCCGCCGCCGCCGCAGCCAGCCGCAGCCGCCUCCAGACCCGUUCGCCGAGGCGAACUCGCGACGGCCCUCCUGCGUCGCCGCCGCGUGGUACCACACCCGAGGCAUCCCUCCGCCUCAGGCAACCUCCGCCGCGUCCUGAGCUCACGCGGCCGCCGCCGUGCCGCCAUUGCCCACGGAACCCGAGCUGAGCCUGCGCGGGCUUGCCUUCUCCGCCGUUGCCGCCGCCGCUCUCCGCGUCCCUGAGGUGAGCGCCAUUGCUCCUUCCCUCCCCCGCACCCAAUCCUGGCCACUGUGCGCGGCCGCCGUGCCGCCGGAAGCCGGCCGGCAAGCAAUCUUAGCUCCGGCCAAGCCCGAAAUAGGGCUAUUUGUGGGAUAUUUACUGUUCCGAGCUUCCCGAGCCUCCCCCGAUCUCUAGGAAGGGAGCACGAUGAUCCUGGCAAGUGCUGAUCAAAUCGUGCUCACCUUGGUUUCUGUCGAGAAGGCCCCAUUCCGCUGUUUUUGCGUGUCAACCCUGUGGAGGCCAUUUUGGCUGGUUUUCUAUGUUUGUGCGUGCUUUUCCGGCGAUCCGAGGCUGUUCCGAUUGCCUCCGGAGCGGUGAGCACAGUUAUCGCUGGUCAUGCUGAUCACAAUGCUCACUUACCUUGGAUCAGCAGUGUCCGGUUAGUCCUGUUCGGGCGGUUUCUCCGUGGCUGCGCCGCUUUUUCGCUGAAACCUUGGGUUGCUCCCGCGCUUCCACAGUGAGCCCGUUGUGCUCUGGAUCGUGAGCACGGCUCUGGUACGUCGAGACAAAGCUAUACGUGUCUCGGCAGACCUUGAAAGUCCUCGGGUUUGCGUGAACUUGCAACUUGAUCGCUCAAAUCACAUAAAAUGAUAGGAUUUUAUGUAAUUUGAGGGACUUUUAUGCAAUUGUGCACCUUGUGGCUACUGUGGGCAACGCGUUGGAGUGUGUGGUAACCUCUGGACUGAUUGUCCAUGAUUCGAUAGCCUUUGCGGAAAUCGAAGAGCCGGUUACGGUGCGUUUUUCGGCGAAAUUCGUCGAAAGAACGCGGUUUCGGUUCGGAUUUCUUCCGACGUGGUUUGGUUGUCUUGUGUGUGGUCGCUGAGCCUUGUUGGCUAGUCACCAUCAUCAUUUUGUAGGUUCGGUGAUGAUCGGUGAGCGACGGUGGGUUCCGGUGUCGAAAUAGACACUUCCGGGAACCCGGAUUCGUACAAUUAUCCGGUGAUAAUUGUGUAGUGUUGUUAUCUUGUGUUUGCUACCAAAACACCCAAAUCGGAGUGUUCUGGUAUAGUAGGUGACUCGUGGCACGAGUCGGUGAGUUUUGGGACACUUAGUGGGUCCCGACGGCGUCCCGGUGUGAUUUUCGGGACUUCCAGCGAGUUACGGUAAUCGGUAUUGGGAAACCGAUCUUCGUGAAAUUGUUUGUGGGGUUGUGGAUACUGUGGUUAUUAGUUGUGGGUUAGAUACUAACCCGGUGGACCCUUUAUAGGUCCUGUCGACAUUCUUUUGCAGUCAGGAAACAGACGCGACAUCUUUACAGGUGGGUACUUCAAUCCGACGUCGGUAUAGUGGUGCACACUUGGUGAUGGUUUCUUACCCUUACUCUUCUGUUGUUACUAUCGCAUAGUAUAUUGAGCCUUGCACCCUUGUUUAUUCGUUAUACACUACUCGUUGUUUACAUGCUUAGUAUUCCGAGUAGGAGUAGAGCAGUUCUAUCUAUAUACGUAUCUGUUGACCUAGUUGGUUUGUUGUUGCAUUCCGUAUCUGUUGACCUAGUUGGUCUGUUGUUGCAUUCAGUAUCUGUUGACUUAGUUGGUCAGUUGUUGCAUUCCGUAUCUGUUGAUCUAGUUUGUUGGUUGUUGCAUUCCGUAUCUGUUAACCUGGUUGGUCGGUUCUCGUACUUCGUAUCAGGGACCUUGUUGGUCAGUUGCACUCUGUGGACCUUGGGUCCAGGCAACACAUCGACUCUCUUGUCAUGUAUUUCGAUCUGGUUGAUCGUGGUUUGGCGUUGUACGCCCUUGUUUCUGGCUUCGGCCUAGGCACCGGCUUUAGCCGAAUUUCGUUUGAGCAUAUCAGCAUGAUUUAGUCACAGCACUGUGUAUUCUAGACACCAGGUUGGUUUGGCCACCAACAAGAGGUGUACGUAUCCGGAUAGGUCGUCGGUGACGCAUGAAUAAGCUCUCAGUGUCUGCUCUGUGACAGGCAACGCUUGAGGUCUACGGACCAAUAUAGCAGCAUCAGAUUGGGUAUAUUUGGACUUAUCGUCUGGUCGACGCAUAUAACUAUAGUAGCAGUUGUCGCUUGUAUAUCUUCAGUUCUUUCGUUAGAUUGUCUUGCUACUAUAGUCUUGUUACAUGUAUACAUUCAGUUGUUCAUUACAGUAGUGGUAGUUGUACUUUCUUUCAUAUACAUGUCUCUUUCAUUCAUUAUUAUUGCUACUGUAUUUUCUAUUGACCCGUGCUGUUGUUUAG